This 465-nucleotide ribosomal RNA is filed under the name uncultured bacterium. Its description in RNAcentral is "partial 16S ribosomal RNA". It matches the Rfam family "Bacterial small subunit ribosomal RNA", at positions 355 to 812 of the family's 1533-position model. The record is from RNAcentral.
UGGGGAAUUUUGGACAAUGGGGGAAACCCUGAUCCAGCCAUCCCGCGUGUGCGAUGAAGGCCUUCGGGUUGUAAAGCACUUUUGGCAGGAAAGAAACGUCGCGGGUUAAUACCCCGCGAAACUGACGGUACCUGCAGAAUAAGCACCGGCUAACUACGUGCCAGCAGCCGCGGUAAUACGUAGGGUGCAAGCGUUAAUCGGAAUUACUGGGCGUAAAGCGUGCGCAGGCGGUUCGGAAAGAAAGAUGUGAAAUCCCAGAGCUUAACUUUGGAACUGCAUUUUUAACUACCGGGCUAGAGUGUGUCAGAGGGAGGUGGAAUUCCGCGUGUAGCAGUGAAAUGCGUAGAUAUGCGGAGGAACACCGAUGGCGAAGGCAGCCUCCUGGGAUAACACUGACGCUCAUGCACGAAAGCGUGGGGAGCAAACAGGAUUAGAUACCCUGGUAGUCCACGCCCUAAACGAUGU